GACGAACGCUGGCGGCGUGCCUAAUACAUGCAAGUAGAACGCUGAAGAGAGGAGCUUGCUCUUCUUGGAUGAGUUGCGAACGGGUGAGUAACGCGUAGGUAACCUGCCUUGUAGCGGGGGAUAACUAUUGGAAACGAUAGCUAAUACCGCAUAACAAUGGAUGACACAUGUCAUUUAUUUGAAAGGGGCAAUUGCUCCACUACAAGAUGGACCUGCGUUGUAUUAGCUAGUAGGUGAGGUAAUGGCUCACCUAGGCGACGAUACAUAGCCGACCUGAGAGGGUGAUCGGCCAAACUGGGACUGGGACACGGCCCAGACUCCUACGGGGAGCAGCAGUAGGGGAUCUUCGGCAAUGGGGGCAACCCUGACCGAGCAACGCCGCGUGAGUGAAGAAGGGUUUCGGAUCGUAAAGCUCUGUUGUAAGUCAAGAACGGGUGUGAGAGUGGAAAGUUCACACUGUGACGGUAGCUUACCAGAAAGGGACGGCUAACUACGUG
RNAcentral lists this ribosomal RNA (497 nucleotides) under uncultured bacterium. RNAcentral's name for it is "partial 16S ribosomal RNA". It matches the Rfam family "Bacterial small subunit ribosomal RNA", at positions 28 to 507 of the family's 1533-position model. The record is from RNAcentral.